This 429-nucleotide ribosomal RNA is filed under the name Gemmatimonadota bacterium. RNAcentral describes it as "Gemmatimonadetes bacterium partial 16S ribosomal RNA". It matches the Rfam family "Bacterial small subunit ribosomal RNA", at positions 355 to 776 of the family's 1533-position model. Lineage: Bacteria; Pseudomonadati; Gemmatimonadota. The record is from RNAcentral.
UAGGGAAUCUUCGGCAAUGGACGAAAGUCUGACCGAGCAACGCCGCGUGAGUGAAGAAGGUUUUCGGAUCGUAAAACUCUGUUGUUAGAGAAGAACAAGGACGUUAGUAACUGAACGUCCCCUGACGGUAUCUAACUAGAAAGCCACGGCUAACUACGUGCCAGCAGCCGCGGUAAUACGUAGGUGGCAAGCGUUGUCCGGAUUUAUUGGGCGUAAAGCGAGCGCAGGCGGUUUCUUAAGUCUGAUGUGAAAGCCCCCGGCUCAACCGGGGAGGGUCAUUGGAAACUGGGAGACUUGAGUGCAGAAGAGGAGAGUGGAAUUCCAUGUGUAGCGGUGAAAUGCGUAGAUAUAUGGAGGAACACCAGUGGCGAAGGCGGCUCUCUGGUCUGUAACUGACGCUGAGGCUCGAAAGCGUGGGGAGCAAACAGG